Long non-coding RNA from Sinocyclocheilus grahami, 595 nucleotides. RefSeq lists it as uncharacterized. The transcript has 4 exons. Lineage: Eukaryota; Metazoa; Chordata; Actinopteri; Cypriniformes; Cyprinidae. The record is from RefSeq and is a predicted model, not a curated record.
AUUGUACAAUCCCACAAAGGCCGCCGCCAUAGUUAGUAAUGCUGCCAUGGCAACCAGGAAACACUCCAGUGUGUGUGCGAGAGGGAGGGAGUCUGGAUGAGGUGUUUGAGUCUCUCACACUCAGUGCUUUAAUAUUAGAAAUAAACACUGAAAAAUAAUCAGCACAAAUAAUAGACCAGAUGAACUUAGGGGUUUUCUCCAGGUGGUCAACUGGAUAACAAGCUUUCUCUGUGUUAAUGUGGCUAAUUUUGGGUCAUGGCAUCCACUGGUGUCACUAGUCACCUGCCUCCAGUCAAGAGUGUGAAGGUCUACAGAAAUGGAGACCCCUUCUUUUCAGGAAGGAGAUUUGUGGUAAACCAGAGGCAAAUCUCCACCAUGGAUGCAUUUCUUAAUGACAUCACUCUCAGUAUCGGAGCUCCGUUAGCUGUUCGAACUCUUUAUACGCCACACUACGGUCAUCGGGUCACAGACCUUAGUGACCUACAGCAAGGGGCACAGUAUGUGGCCGCAGGGUUUGAGCGCUUUAAGAAACUAGAUUAUCUGACUUCAGGACUGAAGAAAGGUCCACUGUGCAGAGCUGUGGAACCGGCCCAGG